RNAcentral lists this ribosomal RNA (253 nucleotides) under uncultured bacterium. RNAcentral describes it as "partial 16S ribosomal RNA". It matches the Rfam family "Bacterial small subunit ribosomal RNA", at positions 524 to 776 of the family's 1533-position model. The record is from RNAcentral.
UACAGGGGGUGCAAACGUUGCUCGGAAUUAUUGGGCGUAAAGCGCGCGUAGGCGGCUACUUAAGUCGGAUGUGAAAGCCCUUGGCUCAACUGAGGAAGUGCACCCGAAACUGAGUGGCUUGAGUACUAAAGAGGGUCGCGGAAUUCCCGGUGUAGAGGUGAAAUUCGUAGAUAUCGGGAGGAACACCGGUGGCGAAGGCGGCGACCUGGGUAGAUACUGACGCUGAGGCGCGACAGCGUGGGGAGCAAACAGG